CCUACGGGUGGCAGCAGUGAGGAAUAUUGGUCAAUGGGCGCGAGCCUGAACCAGCCAAGUCGCGUGAGGGAUGACGGCCCUACGGGUUGUAAACCUCUUUUGUCGGGGAGCAAGCGUGUGCACGUGAACGCGCAUCGAGAGUACCUGGAGAAAAAGCAUCGGCUAACUCCGUGCCAGCAGCCGCGGUAAUACGGAGGAUGCGAGCGUUAUCCGGAUUUAUUGGGUUUAAAGGGUGCGUAGGCGGAAUGCCAAGUCAGCGGUAAAAAUGCGGGGCUCAACGCCGUCGUGCCGUUGAAACUGGCGUUCUUGAGUGGGCGAGAAGUAUGCGGAAUGCGUGGUGUAGCGGUGAAAUGCAUAGAUAUCACGCAGAACUCCGAUUGCGAAGGCAGCAUACCGGCGCCCUACUGACGCUGAGGCACGAAAGCGUGGGUAUCGAACAGGAUUAGAUACCCGUGUAGUC
RNAcentral lists this ribosomal RNA (460 nucleotides) under uncultured bacterium. RNAcentral's name for it is "partial 16S ribosomal RNA". It matches the Rfam family "Bacterial small subunit ribosomal RNA", at positions 338 to 795 of the family's 1533-position model. The record is from RNAcentral.